Molecule: long non-coding RNA, 394 nt
Organism: Limulus polyphemus (Atlantic horseshoe crab)
Lineage: Eukaryota; Metazoa; Arthropoda; Merostomata; Xiphosura; Limulidae
Exons: 3
Source: RefSeq, a predicted model, not a curated record
GAGAAAACAGUCAGUAAUGUUGUAAUAUGUUUUUUUUGGUCAGGAUGAAAGGAACCACAUUUUAACAACAGCUAGCUGGAUAACACAGAAGUGGACAGACUACCAUCUACGAUGGAAUGUAUCUGAUUUCAACGGAAUUACAGUUAUCCGUGUACCGGCUAGUCAAGUGUGGAGACCGGACAUCCUUCUUCACAACAACGUCGGCGUAGAACAGACGUCUGACGUCAUUAAUACAAACGUUAUCGUGAAACACACAGGAGAAGUCAAGUGGAUCUGGAGAGCUUUGUUGAAAAGUUCUUGCCCUAUUGACAUCGAGUGCUUCCCGUUUGACGUCCAGUAUUGUCCGAUGAGGUUCGUAUCUGGAGCUUAUGACGGCUUACAGGUAGGCGGGAAC